UGGGGAAUAUUGGACAAUGGGGGGAACCCUGAUCCAGCCAUGCCGCGUGUGUGAAGAAGGCCUUAUGGUUGUAAAGCACUUUAAGCGAGGAGGAGGGUACUGGUAUUAAUACUACCAGGUACUGGACGUUACUCGCGGAAUAAGCACCGGCUAACUCUGUGCCAGCAGCCGCGGUAAUACAGAGGGUGCGAGCGUUAAUCGGAUUUACUGGGCGUAAAGCGUGCGUAGGCGGCUAAUUGAGUCGGAUGUGAAAUCCCCGAGCUUAACUUGGGAAUUGCAUUCGAUACUGGUUAGCUAGAGUGUGGGAGAGGAUGGUAGAAUUCCAGGUGUAGCGGUGAAAUGCGUAGAGAUCUGGAGGAAUACCGAUGGCGAAGGCAGCCAUCUGGCCUAACACUGACGCUGAGGUACGAAAGCAUGGGGAGCAAACAGG
This 430-nucleotide ribosomal RNA is filed under the name Pseudomonadota bacterium. Its description in RNAcentral is "Proteobacteria bacterium partial 16S ribosomal RNA". It matches the Rfam family "Bacterial small subunit ribosomal RNA", at positions 355 to 776 of the family's 1533-position model. Lineage: Bacteria; Pseudomonadati; Pseudomonadota. The record is from RNAcentral.